RNAcentral lists this ribosomal RNA (121 nucleotides) under Helianthus annuus (common sunflower). Lineage: Eukaryota; Viridiplantae; Streptophyta; Magnoliopsida; Asterales; Asteraceae. The record is from RNAcentral.
AAAUCUAUUCAAACUAUGAGUGCAAUGGUUGUGGAGCAGAUGAAAACUCCACAGUUAAGCAUGAUCAGGUGUGAGUAGUACUAGCAUGGGUGACCUCCAGGGAAGUCUCUAACUGGGCAAC